Molecule: ribosomal RNA, 440 nt
Filed under: uncultured bacterium
Lineage: Bacteria
Description: partial 16S ribosomal RNA
Rfam family: Bacterial small subunit ribosomal RNA
Source: RNAcentral
CCUACGGGUGGCAGCAGUGGGGAAUAUUGCACAAUGGGGGCAACCCUGAUGCAGCGACGCCGCGUGAGUGAAGAAGUAUUUCGGUAUGUAAAGCUCUAUCAGCAGGGAAGAUAAUGACGGUACCUGACUAAGAAGCCCCGGCUAACUACGUGCCAGCAGCCACGGUAAUACGUAGGGGGAAAGCGUUAGCCGAAUGUACUGGGUGUAAAGGGUGCGGAGGGGGCAGGGCAAGUCAGAGGUGAAAGCCCCGGGCUUAACCCCGGAAUUGCAUUUGAAACUGUCCAGCUGGAGUGGAGUAGAGGGAAGCGGAAUUCCUAGUGUAGCGGUGAAAUGCGUAGAGAUUAGGAGGAACACCAGUGGCGAAGGCGGCUCACUGGACUGUAACUGACACUGAGGCACGAAAGCGUGGGGAGCAAACAGGAUUAGAUACCCCGGUAGUC